GCGGACGUGGCGGAAUUGGUAUACGCGCAUGCUUGAGGUGCAUGUGCCGCAAGGCUUGAGGGUUCGAGUCCCUCCGUCCGCACCA
Molecule: transfer RNA, 85 nt
Filed under: Candidatus Buchananbacteria bacterium RIFCSPHIGHO2_02_FULL_45_11b
Lineage: Bacteria; Candidatus Buchananiibacteriota
Also listed under: 3 other names
Description: tRNA-Leu
Rfam family: tRNA
About the family: Transfer RNA (tRNA) molecules are approximately 80 nucleotides in length. Their secondary structure includes four short double-helical elements and three loops (D, anti-codon, and T loops).
Source: RNAcentral